AAAGAUUAAGCCAUGCAUGUCUAAGUAUAAGCAAUUAUACAGCGAAACUGCGAAUGGCUCAUUAAAUCAGUUAUCGUUUAUUUGAUAGUACCUUACUACAUGGAUACCUGUGGUAAUUCUAGAGCUAAUACAUGCUAAAAAUCCCGACUUCGGAAGGGAUGUAUUUAUUAGAUUAAAAACCAAUGCCCUUCGGGGCUUCCUGGUGAUUCAUGAUAACUUCUCGAAUCGCACGGCCUUGCGCCGGCGAUGGUUCAUUCAAAUUUCUGCCCUAUCAACUUUCGACGGCUGGGUCUUGGCCAGCCGUGGUGACAACGGGUAACGGGGAAU
Molecule: ribosomal RNA, 327 nt
Filed under: uncultured fungus
Lineage: Eukaryota; Fungi
Description: SSU rRNA
Rfam family: Eukaryotic small subunit ribosomal RNA
Source: RNAcentral